This 6055-nucleotide long non-coding RNA is filed under the name Triticum aestivum (bread wheat). Its description in RNAcentral is "long non-coding RNA (TAES_LNC024486)". Lineage: Eukaryota; Viridiplantae; Streptophyta; Magnoliopsida; Poales; Poaceae. The record is from RNAcentral.
AUCUCAUUGUGAUGGGGUGCUCGAAAUUGUUGAAGAUGAGGAGCAGUAUGGAGAACAAAUGAAAAUGCAGGACCAUGCUUCAUAUGAACAAGAAGAGCAUGCUAUGGUAGAAACUUCACGGAAUGACACAGGGCAGAGUGACUUCCCAAAGUUGAGAUUGAUCGUAUUGACGGGACUUAAGAAGCUGAGAAGUAUUUGUAAAGCAAGAGAAUUCCCAUGCCUUGAGACCCUUCGGGUGGAGGAUUGCCCAAAUCUGAGAAGCAUCCCGCUAAGCUGCACGCAUAACUAUUGGAAACUGAAGCAGAUAUGUGGUUCAGUUGAAUGGUGGGAGAAACUGCAGUGGGAAAAUAGGAAGGAGGUGGCAUGUCUGGACAGCAAGUACUUCAUUCCAAUCUGACACAACCCCAAUUUCAAUGGCUUUUGCAUGGCACGCAGGUGGCUUAGUUCUGUCUUCAGUCUUCACACAAAUAAGAGGUCUCCUCUUAAAUUGUUUAAAAUUUGUAUAUGUGACAGGCAUAGCUUCUGUACAUUGUUAGUAUUGUAUUCAUGUAUAGAAUAUGAUAUACUCUGUAAUUUUCUGGUAUUGCAUUCGUGUAAUAUGAAUUGUUCAUUUAAAUCAUAGUCCAAUAAGGCUCUGUGACUUUCUGUCCUAUCAAUUGUGCAGUACCUCCACAAAAAAGUUUCAGGGCAUUAUUAACUCAGUUACAUGUAAUUACACCUUCUCAAGAUUUACAGGCCAAACCUUGCUCUGGCAUGAACAUCAGGCAUGGCAUUGGAUGCACCACUUUGUUACAAUAGAGUGAUUGACUGAUGUGAUGAUAUCAGGAGAAAUGUUUCACUGAUGGGAUUGUACCCGAAGUAAAAGAUGCCUUGAACAUUUCUAGUAUGUACAGGUACCUUUCUAGAUUCUCUUUCCCGAUGCUUUAUUUUGUACUUUAGCUAUAAGCCCUUGAGUGCUCACUACAUUUAGAAUAUCACUAAUAGAUUCACUGAGAAGGCUUGUGAAGUGCCUCCGAAAGGGAAAGGCAUUGGGAUUGGCAAAUGAUCUGAGUUCUAGUAGCAGAAGCAAACACUACAACAGGCUGCUAUUUCUUAUCUGGUAGGGGUAUCUCCUGCCUCUUGCUAGAAUAAGGUACUGCAUUAUCCCAAUUUCCGUUCCUGCUCUGUUUUGAAUUCAGAAACAGCAUACUUUAUAAUUUUACUUAGUAUAGUCGAACAAUGUGUUAUUUCAUUAUUUUUCCAAAAGAACAUUUGUCAGAAACAGCCAGCGAUUGUCUUUUAGCAGAAAUAGCUCGGUCAACUCCAUAGAUAUGUUGUAUGUUCUAUAUGGUGUUUGCAAAAUCCUGUCAUCGGGAGAUCUGCAUCUGUUCUCAGUAGUUUUCUCAUUGUUGGUCAUACCUCGCACACAAUGUUCAUCCUUCUGCUGGCAGCAAAGGAGAAGCAAGGAGUACAAGUCUGCCAAGUGCCUCAUUUCAAAAGUUCUAUUCUACGACGUAGAACUAUGUUCCCUCUCAACCUCUCAUGGUAGAAGCAUAGCAGCUAGUAUUUUUCAUGCAUUUCCAAUGUAAACUGCAUGGGGCAAAUCAAUGCACGUUCUGAAAAUUUUGAUAUUCCAAGUAGGAAUGACAACCAACCACCAUAGCCUUGCAGAAGAUCACAUACUCGCUGACAGAUAUAAAUAUGUUUUCCUGUAAAUAUUAUGAAUGGUGAAAAUAUUAUGAAUUGGUAUUUAAUAUCAGCCAGCUAAGCUGUGUCCACAUGAUUUGAGUCGAGGUCUGAAAAUGACAACAAUUUCGGACAUUGUUAAACGGAGGAUUAGGCAAUGAUAGAGCCAGGUCAGACAAUGAUUCGUCAGCAGUUUUAGAUAUUGUUAAACGGAGGAUUAGGCAGAGUGGCAGACCACUUGCAAGACCAAGUUGUGAGAGAAGACUGAAGGGAUGUACGCAGUACCUAGCUAGUAAUGAAGAUGGAAUACAUUAUGACAGCAACUUGAGAAGGGAUACGCGGUACCUACUUCCAGCAUCUCCAGUAGAUCAUCACUAAAUUAUGGUUGGAGUAAAAUAUGUACAUCACUAAAAAGAGAUUUUUUUUUUCAUCACCAAAAAUCUUCAACUCUAACAGAUGAUGUAAAAAAUGUGUUGCAAAAUAAAUCACGGUUUGUGUUCUUGUGAGUGCCCUAUUUUACAUUAUCAGUUGGAACACUUGGACACUUGGUGAUGUAAAAAUAACACUUCACUAUGCAAAAUUUGCUUCAGCCGCGCGGUCCCCUGGUGAUGUAAAAUAUGCUCUAGAGCAUCAAGUGAUGCAAAUGCCCUAUUUACAUCUAGAGCAAAGCUGUAAUAAAAAUAUUUGCAUCUACUCCCUCUGUUCCUAUAUAUAAGUCUUUGUAGAGAUUUCAUUAUGGACCACAUACAGAUGUAUAUAGAUGCAUUUUAACAUGUAGAUUCACUCAUUUUGCUCCGUACACUAGUAGAAAACAGGGCUUAGGUCACAGGGCAGUUUUCACAUUAGCCCCGGUUCAGUCACGAACCGGGACUAAUGUGAGCAUUGGUCCCGGUUCGUGAGCCUAGGGGGCCGGCCGGGGCCUCGUGGGCAUUGGUCCGGGUUCGUAUGGACCCUUUGGUCCCGGUUGGUGGUACAAACCGGGACCAAUGGGCCACGCUCCUGGCCCACCACCCUUUAGUCCCGGUUCAUACCACAAACCGGGACUAAAGUGCUGGUCCUAGUUGCGGCCAGUGUUUAGUCCCACCUCGCCAACCGAAGGGCGCUCACACCAGUUUAUAAGCCCGUCCCUCUAUGCCUUGUUGAGCUUCUAUUAAAGUGAAAAUAGAUGCCCUUAUACAGGAAAUUUGACUUAAAUUCAUAGUAAAUUUCAUAGAAAUUUAGUAUGAAUUUAGGUUGAAUUUUCUCUAUAAGUGCAUCAAUGUUCAUUUUUUAUAUUUAUAAAAUAAAUAAACCUUAAUAAAAUAAAUAAAACUAAAUAAACCUUGAUAAAAUAAAAUAAAAUAAACUAUAGUAACUACAAUAAAUAAACCUUAAUUAAUUAAGUAAAAAUAGCAGCAAGUAAAAUAAAUAAAAAUAGCAGCAGUAAAAUAAAUAAAAAUAAAAUAAUUAAAGUAAAAGACAUAAGUAAUUAGAAAUAAAAUAAAUAAGUUUUUUUGUAAGUAGAAAGAAAACCUUUUCAGAGUUCAUUUGAAAUGCUUUUCAAUUUUAGGGUCUUAUAGCUCAAAAUAAUUAGUAAAUGCACGAAAAAUAACAAAUGAAGUCAGAAAGGAUUGACAAAUGAUGAUGUGGCUUUGAAUGGUGCAUUUUGAACACACAAAAAGUCAGGAGUUCAAAUAAGUUUUAAAAAAUGAAAUCCCUUUGUAACAGACGAGUUUCCGGAUGAAAUCCUGAUACUUUGAAAGAGAUUGUCCGUUUUGUACACGAAGUGCAUCCAGUUUAUGCCGUAACCCUCUCAACUUUCUUGCACAUGCUAUGUGGAGAAAUGAUGAUAUCAUGCCAAACUUUCAACCUUUUCAGAGUUCAUUUGAAAUGCUUUUCAAUUUUAGGGUCUUAUAGCUCAAAAUAAUUAGUAAAUGCAUGAAAAAUAACAAAUGAAGUCAGAAAGGAUUGAAAAAUGAUGAUGUGGCUUUGAAUGGUGCAUUUUGAACACACACAAAGUCAGGAGUUCAAAUAAGUUUUAAAAAAUGAAAUCCCUUUGUAACAGACGAGUUUCCGGAUGAAAUCCUGAUACUUUGAAAGAGAUUGUCCGUUUUGUACACGAAGUGCAUCCAGUUUUUGCCGUAACCCUCUCAACUUUCUUGCACAUGCUAUGUGGAUGAAAUGAUGAUAUUAUGCCAACUUUCAACCUUUUCAGAGUUCAUUUGAAAUGCUUUUCAAUUUUAGGGUCUUAUAGCUCAAAAUAAUUAGUAAAUGCAUGAAAAAUAACAAAUGAAGUCAGAAAGGAUUGAAAAAUGAUGAUGUGGCUUUGAAUGGUGCAUUUCGAACACACACAAAGUCAGGAGUUCAAAUAAGUUUUAAAAAAUGAAAUCCCUUUGUAACAGACGAGUUUCCGGAUGAAAUCCUGAUACUUUGAAAGAGAUUGUCCGUUUUGUACACGAAGUGCAUCCAGUUUUUGCCGUAACCCUCUCAACUUUCUUGCACAUGCUAUGUGGAUGAAAUGAUGAUAUCAUGCCAACUUUCAACCUUUUCAGAGUUCAUUUGAAAUGCUUUUCAAUUUUAGGGUCUUACAGCUCAAAAUAAUUAGUAAAUGCAUGAAAAAUAACAAAUGAAGUCAGAAAGGAUUGAAAAAUGAUGAUGUGGCUUUGAAUGGUGCAUUUUGAACACACAAAAAGUCAGGAGUUCAAAUUAGGUUUAAAAAAUGAAAUCCCUUUGUAACAAACGAGUUUCCGGAUGAAAUCCUGAUACUUUGAAAGAGAUUGUCCGUUUUGUACACGAAGUGCAUCCAGUUUUUGCCGUAACCCUCUCAACUUUCUUGCACAUGCUAUGUGGAUGAAAUGAUGAUAUCAUGCCAACUUUCAACCUUUUCAGAGUUCAUUUGAAAUGAUUUUCAAUUUUAGGGUCUUAUAGCUCAAAAUAAUUAGUAAAUGCAUAAAAAUAACAAAUGAAGUCAGAAAGGAUUGAAAAAUGAUGAUGUGGCUUUGAAUGGUGCAUUUUGAACACACAAAAAGUCAGGAGUUCAAAUAAGUUUUAAGAAAUGAAAUCCCUUUGUAACAGACGAGUUUCCGUAUGAAAUCCUGAUACUUUGAAAAAGAUUGUCCGUUUUGUACACGAAGUGCAUCCAGUUUUUGCCGUAACCCUCUCAACUUUCUUGCACAUGCUAUGUGGAUGAAAUGAUGAUAUCAUGCCAACUUUCAACCUUUUCAGAGUUCAUUUGAAAUGCUUUUCAAUUUUAGGGUCUUACAGCUCAAAAUAAUUAGUAAAUGCAUGAAAAAUAACAAAUGAAGUCAGAAAGGAUUGAAAAAUGAUGAUGUGGCUUUGAAUGGUGCAUUUUGAACACACAAAAAGUCAGGAGUUCAAAUAAGUUUUAAAAAUGAUAUCCCUUUGUAACACACGAGUUUCCGGAUGAUAUCCUGAUACUUUGAAAGAGAUUGUCCGUUUUGUACACGAAGUGCAUCCAGUUUUUGCCGUAACCCUCUCAACUUUCUUGCACAUGCUAUGUGGAUGAAAUGAUGAUAUCAUGCCAACUUUCAACCUUUUCAGAGUUCAUUUGAAAUGCUUUUCAAUUUUAGGGUCUUAUAGCUCAAAAUAAUUAGUAAAUGCAUGAAAAAUAACAAAUGAAGUCAGAAAGGAUUGAAAAAUGAUGAUGUGGCUUUGAAUGGUGCAUUUUGAACACACACAAAGUCAGGAGUUCAAAUAAGUUUAAAAAAUGAAAUCCCUUUGUAACAGACGAGUUUCCGGAUGAAAUCCUGAUACUUUGAAAGAGAUUGUCCGUUUUGUACACGAAGUGCAUCCAGUUUUUGCCGUAACCCUCUCAACUUUCUUGCACAUGCUAUGUGGAUGAAAUGAUGAUAUCAUGCCAACUUUCAACCUUUUCAGAGUUCAUUUGAAAUGCUUUUCAAUUUUAGGUUCUUAUAGUUCAAAAUAAUUAGUAAAUGCAUGAAAAAUAACAAAUGAAGUCAGAAAGGAUUGAAAAAUGAUGAUGUGGCUUUGAAUGGUGCAUUUUGAACACACAAAAAGUCAGGAGUUCAAAUUAGGUUUAAAAAAUGAAAUCCCUUUGUAACACACGAGUUUCCGGAUGAAAUUUAAACUAUUCAAAUUUGGAAACUAAUGGAUUAACUGAAAGUUUAUAAUUAUUCUGAGCUAAAAGCAAAAAGAAUAAUAAAAUAAAGCAAAAAUCAAAAAAAAAUAAAUAAUUCAAAAAACAAAAAAUUACUGGAAAAAAUAAAAAAAAUGCCGCCUAAUGGGCCACACAGCCUGCAUACGACUAGAAACCCAUCUGCACAUGGGCCAGGAUGCAGGCCCGCAGGCCCAAUAGGCCCAACAUGGCAAUGACAAAGGUAGGCAUGUAUAAUGCCUGCAUAUUAGAGAGGAGCUCAGCACCUGAGCUGCA